UAUAAGAGAAGAGGUUCUAGGAAUAAAGUGGGCCCACUUAAGUGAGCACUUAUAGCAAUGCUAAUUUGGAUCAAAAAUAGAAGUUUGGUACUUGCUUGUGAACAGAAGAAUUUAGGUUUUCAGAUAUUACUUUAUUAGAACACGGAUCCAAUUUUGCAUUCCCUCUUUUGUAUUUCUUCACAUAUUUAGGUGAAAAUGUGAUAUUCCA
Molecule: long non-coding RNA, 208 nt
Filed under: Elaeis guineensis (African oil palm)
Lineage: Eukaryota; Viridiplantae; Streptophyta; Magnoliopsida; Arecales; Arecaceae
Description: long non-coding RNA (EGUI_LNC025751)
Source: RNAcentral